UACGUAGGGUGCGAGCGUUGUCCGGAAUUAUUGGGCGUAAAGGGCUCGUAGGCGGUUUGUCACGUCGGGAGUGAAAACUCGGGGCUUAACCCCGAGCCUGCUUCCGAUACGGGCUGACUAGAGGUAUGCAGGGGAGAACGGAAUUCCUGGUGUAGCGGUGAAAUGUGCAGAUAUCAGGAGGAACACCGGUGGCGAAGGCGGUUCUCUGGGCAUUACCUGACGCUGAGGAGCGAAAGUGUGGGGAGCGAACAGG
RNAcentral lists this ribosomal RNA (253 nucleotides) under uncultured bacterium. Its description in RNAcentral is "partial 16S ribosomal RNA". It matches the Rfam family "Bacterial small subunit ribosomal RNA", at positions 524 to 776 of the family's 1533-position model. The record is from RNAcentral.